UACAGAGGGUGCGAGCGUUAAUCGGAAUUACUGGGCGUAAAGCGUGCGUAGACGGUUAUCUAAGUCGGAUGUGAAAGCCCCGGGCUCAACCUGGGAAUUGCAUUCGAGACUGAACAGCUAGGGUACGGUAGAGGGAAGUGGAAUUUCCGGUGUAGCGGUGAAAUGCGUAGAUAUCGGAAGGAACAUCAGUGGCGAAAGCGACUUCCUGGACCAGUACCGACGUUCAGGCACGAAAGCGUGGGGAGCAAACAGG
Molecule: ribosomal RNA, 253 nt
Filed under: uncultured bacterium
Lineage: Bacteria
Description: partial 16S ribosomal RNA
Rfam family: Bacterial small subunit ribosomal RNA
Source: RNAcentral